GGCUCUGUGUUUAUAAAGAAGAUGCGGGAGGGAAAUGGCACUGGCCACUUCCUUUGUUCCCAGGAAGAUGCCUCCAUGAUGCUGUCUCUCAGGGACUGGUCUGAGAAGAUUGAAUCAUCUCCCCACUAUGUGCCCCAGGGCUGUUACAGUAGGAGAGAGAGACCCAGCUGGCCUGAGAGCUGGACUUUGCACAUCACCUGCUCCAAAAAUGUCCUACUUCAGAGAACCGAUGUUUCAUCUCACAGCCCCUGAACUGGAAAGAAGUUGGGACAGGGGCUGUACUACCACUGACCUAGCUGGCCACUGAAUUGGAAGGAACAGGCCCAGGGAAUCUUGAGAAGUUCAUGACUUCUAGAGGAGGACGAGGUUGUAUAAGACCAGUGCCAGCCACAUCAGGUUGAUGAGAUGAAAAAGAAGGAUAUUUCCUCAGUGCCCAUGCUCUUUAUAAGGAUAGAUGGGAUCUGGUGGCAAGAUGGUAAGCAAACUGGGCCCUGCUAGUGUGAAUUUUGCCCUGGGAAUGCAUAUCAAAAUUGAA
Molecule: long non-coding RNA, 535 nt
Organism: Ailuropoda melanoleuca (giant panda)
Lineage: Eukaryota; Metazoa; Chordata; Mammalia; Carnivora; Ursidae
Exons: 3
Source: RefSeq, a predicted model, not a curated record